This 247-nucleotide ribosomal RNA is filed under the name uncultured bacterium. RNAcentral describes it as "partial 16S ribosomal RNA". It matches the Rfam family "Bacterial small subunit ribosomal RNA", at positions 96 to 334 of the family's 1533-position model. The record is from RNAcentral.
CGGCGCACGGGUGAGUAACACGUGGAUAAUCUACCCUUUGGAUUGGAAUAACCUGUCGAAAGACGGGCUAAUGCCGAGUAAGCUCUCGGGAGCGUGAAGCUCUUGCGAGGAAAGAUGGCGCAAGCUAUCGCCGAUGGAUGAGUCUGCGUCCCAUUAGUUAGUUGGUGAGGUAACAGCUUACCAAGACGAUGAUGGGUACCUGGUCUGAGAGGAUGAUCAGGCACACUGGAACUGAAACACGGUCCAG